GCCAGCAGUCAUAUCACCCUGCAACUCACAACUGGCAGCCCACUGAAGCUAAGCAGGUGUGAGCCUGGUCAGUACCUGGAUGGUAGACCUCCUAGGAAAAACUAAGGUUGCUGCUGGAA
This is a ribosomal RNA of Lepisosteus oculatus (spotted gar), 119 nucleotides long. The record is from Ensembl. Lineage: Eukaryota; Metazoa; Chordata; Actinopteri; Semionotiformes; Lepisosteidae.